AACGAACGCUGGCGGCGUGCCUAACACAUGCAAGUCGUGCGAGAAAGUUCCUUCGGGAGCGAGUAAAGCGGCGCACGGGUGAGUAACACGUAGGUAACCUGCCCCCCAGUCUGGAACAACUAGAGGAAACUCUAGCUAAUGCCGGAUGAGACCACGAUCCCUUCGGGGGUUGCGGCCAAAGAUGGCCUCUACUUGUAAGCUAUCGCUGAGGGAUGGGCCUGCGGGCCAUUAGCUUGUUGGUGAGGUAACGGCUCACCAAGGCUGUGAUGGCUAGCUGGUCUGAGAGGAUGACCAGCCACACUGGGACUGAGACACGGCCCAGGCUCCUACGGGAGGCAGCAGUGGGGAAUAUUGCGCAAUGGGCGAAAGCCUGACGCAGCGACGCCGCGUGGGUGAUGAGGGCC
This 404-nucleotide ribosomal RNA is filed under the name uncultured bacterium. RNAcentral's name for it is "bacterial SSU rRNA". It matches the Rfam family "Bacterial small subunit ribosomal RNA", at positions 29 to 416 of the family's 1533-position model. The record is from RNAcentral.